UGUCAUUAUUUAGUUCUCAAAAUCUGUACUAGACAAAAUGUAAAAUCGAUCCAUUUACCAAACGUUCCGUGGGUUUAAUCAAACGUUCCGUGGGUUUAAUCAAACGUUCCGUGGGUUUAAUCAAACGUUCCGUGGGUUUAAUCAAACGUUCCGUAGGUUUUAUCAAACGUUCCGUGGGUUUUAUCAAACGUUCCGUGGGUUUUAUCAAACGUUCCGUGGGUUUUAUCAAACGUUCCGUGGGUUUUAUCAAACGUUCCGUGGGUUUAAUCAAACGUUCCGUGGGUUUAAUCAAACGUUCCGUAGGUUAUCAAACGUUCCGUGGGUUUUAUCAAACGU
This is a long non-coding RNA of Oncorhynchus keta (chum salmon), 336 nucleotides long. RefSeq lists it as uncharacterized. Lineage: Eukaryota; Metazoa; Chordata; Actinopteri; Salmoniformes; Salmonidae. The transcript is spliced from 3 exons. The record is from RefSeq and is a predicted model, not a curated record.